GAUGAACGCUGGCGGCGUGCCUAAUACAUGCAAGUCGAGCGAACAGACGAUGAGCUUGCUCCGCUCUCGUUAGCGGCGGACGUGUGAGUAACACGUGGAUAACCUACCUAUAAUUCGGGGAUAACUUGGGAAAACCGGAUCUAAUACCAGAUGAUAUAUUGAUCCGCAUGGUUCAUUGGUGAAAGUCGGUUUUGCGGUCACUUAUAGCUGGAUCCGCGCCUCAUUAGCUAGUUGUUGAGUUAAAGGCUUAUCAAGGCGACGAUGCGUAGCCGACCGGAGGGGCUGAUAGGCCACCUGGGAACUGGACCGCGGUCAAGAGUCCUACGGGAGGGCGCAGUAGGGAACCUUCCGCAGUGGGCGAGAGCAUGACGGAGCAACGCCGAGUGAGUGAUGACGGUCUUCGGAUCGUAAAAAUCUGUUAUUAGGGAAGAACAAAUGUGUAAGUAACUAUGCACGUCUUGACGGUACCUAAUCAGAAAGCCACGGCUAACUACGUG
Molecule: ribosomal RNA, 497 nt
Filed under: uncultured bacterium
Lineage: Bacteria
Description: partial 16S ribosomal RNA
Rfam family: Bacterial small subunit ribosomal RNA
Source: RNAcentral